UACGUAGGAUGCAAGCGUUAUCCGGAUUCAUUGGGUUUAAAGGGAGCGUAGGCGGAUUGGUAAGUCAGUGGUGAAAUCUUUGGGCUUAACCCAGAAACUGCCAUUGAUACUGCUGAUCUAGAGUACAGUUGCCGUUGGCGGAAUAUGACAUGUAGUGGUGAAAUACUUAGAUAUGUCAUAGAACACCGAUUGCGAAGGCAGCUAACGAAGCUGUAACUGACGCUGAGGCUCGAAAGUGCGGGGAUCAAACAGG
Molecule: ribosomal RNA, 253 nt
Filed under: uncultured bacterium
Lineage: Bacteria
Description: partial 16S ribosomal RNA
Rfam family: Bacterial small subunit ribosomal RNA
Source: RNAcentral